CCCUUGUGGUCCUGAUCACUUGGUAACAGUGAUGUUUUGUCUGGGUGUUGGCCACCCUGUCGCCCCUCGGUUCGAUCAUCGUAAACAUGAUUGCUUUCACUGAUCACCAAUCACUUGAAUCACAGGACCACGUGGUCUCGCUAUUUUCACUCCCGGUCUCAUCUUUCUCCUCUAUCCUUUUCAAAUAUUCCACUGUUUUUUUAAUUACCGACUAUCACAAAUCUCUUUGGUUUGUCUCGCGAAUGUCCGAAGCGUCUUACUUAUCCGAGAUACAUUUCGGUAUCCAAUAGACCUGCACCCAAACUCUGGAUAUACCUGGUAUCUUCAAACGAUGCGUUUGCAAACACAAAGGCAGCAUAAAACUGCGAAACACCACGGCGUACUAACGAUACACUGCACUAAACUGUCGAUAGCCGUGAGAAGAACGAAGGCGGAGAAGAGAAACGACGUUCGUCGCAGCGGUCGCCUUCUUCCACACAAUUUCGCGUACGCGCUCGAGGCGCAUUACGGCCAGCGGCUUGUUAAAUAAUUAGAUUUAGCCGCGGCGGACAGUCUCUAAAUUGAUGUCACCGUCGUCGCCGACAGUCGAAACCUUAUGACGCACGAAUCGCGACUAUAAUGCGCAUCAUUAUCGCGUAGUUAUGGCCGUCAGAACCAAUAAACGCGUGCUGCGCCCAAUUUUCCUCCAUCGAUCAUCGUAUUAUCGACUUCUUAUCGUAUAGCCGUUUAUUUUCUGUUUCCACCUUCCUCCAUAGUCUUCGAUAUUUUGUCGUCGUUCGAGGUAUUUUUUUUUUUAUUCGAAUGUAAUUAAUACGUUCGACAAUUCCGACAUUCUCGCGAAGCUGUAUUUCGUACGUCGGAAUUUCCAAACAACUGAAUUCCGCACGC
This 888-nucleotide unclassified non-coding RNA is filed under the name Bombus terrestris (buff-tailed bumblebee). Its description in RNAcentral is "misc RNA ENSBTSG00005028813.1". The record is from RNAcentral. Lineage: Eukaryota; Metazoa; Arthropoda; Insecta; Hymenoptera; Apidae.